RNAcentral lists this ribosomal RNA (465 nucleotides) under uncultured bacterium. Its description in RNAcentral is "partial 16S ribosomal RNA". It matches the Rfam family "Bacterial small subunit ribosomal RNA", at positions 28 to 507 of the family's 1533-position model. The record is from RNAcentral.
GACGAACGCUGGCGGCGUGCUUAACACAUGCAAGUCGUACGGUAAGGCCCUUUCGGGGGUACACGAGUGGCGAACGGGUGAGUAACACGUGAGUAACCUGCCCACAACUUUGGGAUAACGCUAGGAAACUGGUUCUAAUACUGGAUAUGUGCUCCUGCUGCAUGGUGGGGGUUGGAAAGCUCCGGGGGUUGGGGAUGGACUCGCGGCCUUUCAGCUUGUUGGUGGGGUAGUGGCCUACCAAGGCGGCGGCGGGUAGCCGGCCUGAGAGGGUGACCGGCCACAAUGGGACGGGGAUACGGCCCAGACUCCUACGGGGGGCAGCAGUGGGGAAUAAUGCACAAUGGGCGCAAGCCUGAUGCAGCAACGCCGCGGGCGGGAAGACGGGCUUCGGGUUGUAAACCGCUUUCAGCAGGGGCGGAGCUGUUUGUGACGGUACCUGGAGAAGAAGCACCGGCUAACUACGUG